RNAcentral lists this small RNA (80 nucleotides) under Flavobacterium sp. 5. RNAcentral describes it as "Flavo-1 RNA". It matches the Rfam family "Flavo-1 RNA". Lineage: Bacteria; Pseudomonadati; Bacteroidota; Flavobacteriia; Flavobacteriales; Flavobacteriaceae. The record is from RNAcentral.
UCCUAGCCCUGAUAGAAGUGGAAAUCCUUUUUAUUUUUUCUUUAAAAAUAAAAAGAUUGCAACGAAUAGCAGGAAAUAGC